Molecule: transfer RNA, 64 nt
Filed under: Leptocimbex yanniae
Lineage: Eukaryota; Metazoa; Arthropoda; Insecta; Hymenoptera; Cimbicidae
Description: tRNA-His
Rfam family: tRNA
About the family: Transfer RNA (tRNA) molecules are approximately 80 nucleotides in length. Their secondary structure includes four short double-helical elements and three loops (D, anti-codon, and T loops).
Source: RNAcentral
ACUUAAAUAGUUUAAAAAACAUUGAUUUGUGGUGUCAAAGAUAUAAAUUUAUUUAUUUUAAGUU